UUACCCUUAUCUGGGGGAUAGCCCGGUGAAAACCGGAUUAACACCCCAUAGUAUUUUUGGAAGGCAUCUUUUAGGAAUUAAAAAUUUAUUGGAUAGGGAUGGGCGUGCGUAAGAUUAGCUAGUUGGAGAGGUAACGGCUCACCAAGGCGACGAUCUUUAGCUGAUGUGAGAGCAUGAUCAGCCACACGGGCACUGAGACACGGGCCCGACUCCUACGGGAGGCAGCAGUGAGGAAUAUUGGUCAAUGGGCGGAAGCCUGAACCAGCCAUGCCGCGUGAAGGACGAAGGCGUUCUGCGUUGUAAACUUCUUUUAUCUGGGAAGAAACCUACGAUUUCUAUUGUAGCCGACGGUACCAGAUGAAUAAGCACCGGCUAACUCCGUGCCAGCAGCCGCGGUAAUACGGAGGGUGCAAGCGUUAUCCGGAUUCACUGGGUUUAAAGGGUGUGUAGGCGGGCUUGUAAGUCAGGGGUGAAAUCCUACAGCUUAACUGUAGAACUGCCUUUGAUACUAUGAGUCUUGAAUAUUGUGAGGUAGGCGGAAUACAUCAUGUAGCGGUGAAAUGCUUA
RNAcentral lists this ribosomal RNA (567 nucleotides) under uncultured bacterium. RNAcentral's name for it is "bacterial SSU rRNA". It matches the Rfam family "Bacterial small subunit ribosomal RNA", at positions 126 to 692 of the family's 1533-position model. The record is from RNAcentral.